CCUACGGGUGGCAGCAGUGAGGAAUAUUGGUCAAUGGACGCAAGUCUUAACCAGCCAUGCCGCGUGCAGGAAGACGGCUCUAUGAGUUGUAAACUGCUUUUGUACGAGGGUAAACGCAGAUACGCGUAUCUGUCUGAAAGUAUCGUACGAAUAAGGAUGGGCUAACACCGUGCCAGCAGCCGCGGGAAUACGGAGGAUUCACUCGUUAUCCGGGUUUAUUGGGUUUAAGGGGUGCUUAGGCGGUCGGAUACGUAAGAGGUGAAAUCCCGGGGCUCAACUUCGGAAUUGCCUCUGAUACUGUUCGGCUAGAGAGUAGUUGAGGUAGGCGGAAUGUCUGGUGUAGCGGUGAAAUGCUUAGAGAUCAUACAGAACACCGAUUGCGAAGGCAGCUUACCAAGCUACUUCUGACGUUGAGGCACGAAAGCGUGGGGAGCAAACAGGAUUAGAUACCCGAGUAGUC
This 460-nucleotide ribosomal RNA is filed under the name uncultured bacterium. RNAcentral describes it as "partial 16S ribosomal RNA". It matches the Rfam family "Bacterial small subunit ribosomal RNA", at positions 338 to 795 of the family's 1533-position model. The record is from RNAcentral.